CACGCCGUAAACGAUGGAUACUAGGUGUAGGAGGUAUCGACCCCUUCUGUGCCGCAGUUAACACAAUAAGUAUCCCACCUGGGGAGUACGGCCGCAAGGUUGAAACUCAAAGGAAUUGACGGGGGCCCGCACAAGCAGUGGAGUAUGUGGUUUAAUUCGAAGCAACGCGAAGAACCUUACCAGGGCUUGACAUGCAGGUGAAUAAUAUAGAGAUAUAUUAGUCCUUCGGGACGCCUGUGCAGGUGG
This 246-nucleotide ribosomal RNA is filed under the name uncultured Oscillospiraceae bacterium. RNAcentral describes it as "partial 16S ribosomal RNA". It matches the Rfam family "Bacterial small subunit ribosomal RNA", at positions 796 to 1041 of the family's 1533-position model. Lineage: Bacteria; Bacillati; Bacillota; Clostridia; Eubacteriales; Oscillospiraceae. The record is from RNAcentral.